UUUUAGUUGAAUGCAUUCAGUUGUGCAACUGACUGACUAGGUAUCCCCCUUUCCUUUUUCUUUUCUAACAACAUCCAGAUGCACAUCCACAUGCCAGUAAAACAAAUCAUAAAUGGCAUUAUCUUCUGAUCUACAUCCACUGAGACUGAACAACUCAACCAGCAUCAUGGAAUAACAUCAUUACCCUCUACUGAAAGCACUCCACCCAAUUAUCGUGGAUUACUGCGUACCAAUUGAAAGUCAUUGAAAGGACGGAAAAUGUGUCUCAGCGUUAGCCUACGUGGGGAACUUAUGUAAGGUAUGGGCGAGUGUAUGGAAAAAGACAUCUGUUUAGAAUCCCGCCUUGUGUUACCGCUGUCUUAAACGUGAAAUAAGACGAGGCAAAUAUUUGGCUCCUUUCCGCCGCCACUGUUAAGGGGCACGCCACUUCUAGGAAUCGUUAUCGCUCUCACGUGAACUCUAGUAACACAGAGCACAAGUGCAACAUCAGAACUGGUGACGAGAAGUCCCCUGCAGCCAGACACUUUAAUGCGGUCAGACAUGUGUGCCAACUGAAGUUCCAGGACGUUCCAAGUUGUACAGCCACAUAAGAGAGGAGGUAAUAGAGAAAAAAUGACUGUUACAGAGAGAGGCAUAUUAUAUCCAUGUCUUACAAAACAGAGAGCCCU
Molecule: long non-coding RNA, 668 nt
Filed under: Salmo trutta (river trout)
Lineage: Eukaryota; Metazoa; Chordata; Actinopteri; Salmoniformes; Salmonidae
Description: lncRNA (ENSSTUG00000033331.1)
Source: RNAcentral